Molecule: small nuclear RNA, 151 nt
Filed under: Heliconius melpomene (postman butterfly)
Lineage: Eukaryota; Metazoa; Arthropoda; Insecta; Lepidoptera; Nymphalidae
Description: U12 minor spliceosomal RNA
Rfam family: U12 minor spliceosomal RNA
About the family: Although the U12 sequence is very divergent from that of U2, the two are functionally analogous.
Source: RNAcentral
GUGCCUCAAUCUAUUGAGUAAGGAAAUUAUUGGGCCCACUUAAUACUGGGCAAUGUCCUAAACUAGGGCGAACGUAUUUUUGAGGGGUACAGGUCGUCCCCUUGAGUCGCGGGCCUACUUUGCACGCGAUUCGGGUGAAGCGAUCUGCCCU